RNAcentral lists this ribosomal RNA (263 nucleotides) under uncultured archaeon. RNAcentral describes it as "partial 16S ribosomal RNA". It matches the Rfam family "Archaeal small subunit ribosomal RNA", at positions 748 to 1008 of the family's 1478-position model. The record is from RNAcentral.
AGGGUGUAAACGCUGCAGACUUGGUGUUGGGGGCCCUUUGGGGGGCGAUUCAGUGCCGGAGAGAAGUUGUUAAGUCUGCUACUUGGGGAGUACGUCCGCAAGGAUGAAACUUAAAGGAAUUGGCGGGGGAGGCACCGCAACGGGAGGAGCGUGCGGUUUAAUUGGAUUCAACACCGUAAACUCACCAGGGAAGACUGUUACAUGAAGGCCGAGAUGAAGACUCUGCUAGAUUUUCAGAGAGGAGGUGCAUGGCGUCAGUGACU